This 698-nucleotide ribosomal RNA is filed under the name Mesorhizobium sp. Its description in RNAcentral is "partial 23S ribosomal RNA". It matches the Rfam family "Bacterial large subunit ribosomal RNA", at positions 320 to 1023 of the family's 2925-position model. Lineage: Bacteria; Pseudomonadati; Pseudomonadota; Alphaproteobacteria; Hyphomicrobiales; Phyllobacteriaceae. The record is from RNAcentral.
GCUUGUGUGUUAGUGGAACGGUCUGGAAAGUCCGACGGUACAGGGUGAUAGUCCCGUACACCAAAAUGCACAGGCUGUGAACUCGAAGAGUAGGGCGGGACACGUGGUAUCCUGUCUGAAUAUGGGGGGACCAUCCUCCAAGGCUAAAUACUCCUGACUGACCGAUAGUGAACCAGUACCGUGAGGGAAAGGCGAAAAGAACCCCGGCGAGGGGAGUGAAAAAGAACCUGAAACCGUGUACGUACAAGCAGUGGGAGCACCUUCGGGUGUGACUGCGUACCUUUUGUAUAAUGGGUCAGCGACUUAUAUUCUGUAGCAAGGUUAACCGUAUAGGGGAGCCGCAGGGAAACCGAGUCUUAACUGGGCGUUAAGUUGCAGGGUAUAGACCCGAAACCCGGUGAUCUAGCCAUGGGCAGGUUGAAGGUUGGGUAACACUAACUGGAGGACCGAACCGACUAAUGUUGAAAAAUUAGCGGAUGACUUGUGGCUGGGGGUGAAAGGCCAAUCAAACCGGGAGAUAGCUGGUUCUCCCCGAAAGCUAUUUAGGUAGCGCCUCGUGAAUUCAUCUCCGGGGGUAGAGCACUGUUUCGGCUAGGGGGCCAUCCCGGCUUACCAACCCGAUGCAAACUACGAAUACCGAAGAAUGUUAUCACGGGAGACACACGGCGGGUGCUAACGUCCGUCGUGAAGAGGGAAAC